Long non-coding RNA from Manis pentadactyla (Chinese pangolin), 713 nucleotides. RefSeq lists it as uncharacterized. The record is from RefSeq and is a predicted model, not a curated record. Lineage: Eukaryota; Metazoa; Chordata; Mammalia; Pholidota; Manidae. The transcript has 3 exons.
UGCAGCUGUGGAAGUCACAUGACCUAGCCUUGGCAGCCGGAUGCCAUCGUUUUGGUGCAUUGACUAUGGGAGAUGUGGCUCAUGGUCCAGGUGCAGGGCGUCUGUAGAGACUAAUUAUCAUGGGGGUGGGGAGAUUACCCUGAAUUAUCCUGGUGGAUCCAAUGUAAUGCCACUGGUUGUUGUAAGUGAAAGAUGGAGGCAAGAAAGUUGCAUCAGAGGAGACGUGGUGACAGAAGCAGAGGUUGAAUGAUGUGAUUGCUGGCUUUGAAGAUGGAAAAGGACCAUGAAUCAAGGAAUGUGGGCAGCUCUAGAAGCUGGAAAAGUCAAGGACUGGGUUUUCCCCUCAAAACCUCCAGUUAGAGUGCAGCCCUGCCCACAGUGAGACUUAGCCCACUGAGACUUCUGACCCUCAGAACUCUAAGGGUCCCAUGUGGCCUCUGCUCUCCCUUGCAAAGAGCCAAAUGGGAACCUAGCGAGGAGGGGGCGGGGCGGAGGAAGACGGCUGCCUAAACCCUGCCUCGCUCCAGAUGCCUGUCCAGGCGGCAGGGGGCAGUGUGAGGCCCUCUCGCCUCCAUCGCUGCCCAGCUGACCCAGGGGAAGGGCUCCCGCCGCAAACACCCCGCUGUUUACUUGCCCCCGCGGAGGGUGCGAGGCGUCAGGGGGCCUGAAGGGGAGACACGGCCUUGCCAGUCAUCACCUGGAAUACAUUACAG